AGGUCUUGCCUCAUGUAACGUUACUGAACGGAGGAUGUACUUUUAAUAUAACGUCUGUGAAUGUAUUUUGUCAUAUUCACAUAAGAUUUUACAUUAUCUGUUCUCUUUGAGGCGUUAACAGACGGUUAUGUUCACGGUUACGCUCAUGUGAAUUUGUCUUUUUUUUCGCGGUUAAACUGAAUGUAUGUUUGUCUCCUAAAGGAAACGGCAUUGUGUAGUAAAGACUAGCAUAAUUAUUUUGAGGCUGUUGAAGUGGUAACUGUUAAAAGUAUGUUUUACAUGUAAUAUUUCAGACUUGUCCAGCUCCUGUCUUCAUUGUCCUCGCGCUGAGAGUUAAAGACACAGAAGCUGUUUGUGUGAGGAGUCACAGACCUGUGUGAGGAUGAGGAGGAGGUGUUCUUCUGAAGAGAAGGCCAGACGGUUUAAGGAGAGUAAACUUCAGAAUAACAUCAAGUUAUCUUUAUUUUGACUAAGACUAAAAUAAUGUGUGUCUUUUUUUUAGAUGUUGAAAUCCAGAGACAAGAUAACUUCAUUCUUUUGAGACUGAUGUAAGUUAAAUUAUUAUUACUUUUUUUUUUUGAAAAUUAAUGUUUCUGUUGUGUCCUGCCUGUUAACUUCACAUUUUUAUGCAAAAACAGUGUGAUUUUAUAUAUGUAUGUAUGUAUAUGUUAAUAUUUUAUUGAAACCAUUGAUGUCCCUCUUUGCAGAACUCAAACUAACUGGAGUUAAGGACACACAAGUGCUUGUGUGAGAAGGUGGUUUUCUCAGCUUCUUCUGAAGAGAGGGAAAGAUCGUUUAAGAUGUUAAAAGCAAGAGACAUGGGAGAGCACCAUUCCUUUGAGAUUUUAUGUAAGUUAUUUUUAGAAAAUAAAUUUUUCUGUUGUCUCCUGCCAGUUUACUUCACAUUUUGAUGCAACAACAGUGUGAUUACUUGCUCAUUUCAUUAAAACCAUUGAUGUCUGUGUUUUUUAUUGCAGAACUCAAACCAACUUUGGAGUUGUCUGAUUUGGAGAGUCAUUAUUUUCAAAUGUGUUUCUCUUAGGCCACUGAUGAAGAGCAGGCGGUGACUGGGAUGAAUCCUGGUCAGAGAGGAGAAUCUUCUUUCCACCUAAACUGAUGCAGCGGUGGUUUUAAAGGAGGACGCUGCCCUGGAUGAUGUAGAAGAUGUCAGAUGCUGUGCUGAUGGGGUUUCUUCAUGAUUACAUCAGUUAUGCUAAAGAGAUCAUGAAAAUUUACCGUGAUGCAUGAUCUGUAUUCAUGGACUUUGAAACAAACUGUAAGUGUAUAAUUU
This 1291-nucleotide long non-coding RNA is filed under the name Carassius auratus (goldfish). RNAcentral's name for it is "lncRNA (ENSCARG00000012431.1)". Lineage: Eukaryota; Metazoa; Chordata; Actinopteri; Cypriniformes; Cyprinidae. The record is from RNAcentral.